RNAcentral lists this long non-coding RNA (1370 nucleotides) under Anas zonorhyncha (Eastern spot-billed duck). Its description in RNAcentral is "lncRNA (ENSAZOG00000005285.1)". Lineage: Eukaryota; Metazoa; Chordata; Aves; Anseriformes; Anatidae. The record is from RNAcentral.
AGAGUGAGGGAACUGAAGCAACCACUCUACACCACCGAGUCUCAGUAGGUGAGUAAGAAGAACCUGAGAGCUGCCAUUAGCCUACAACUCUUUCACUUACCCAGCUUUCCCAUGGGAUGCCCAUGCCUAGCCCGGAGUGCCUUCAAGGGAGACACACACAUCUGGAGAGGCUCUUCAUCUUCCCUCAUGAGGUCCAGAAAGAGGCAGAGGGUGCUGAAUUGGCUCGGUUCUUGCCCUGCAUUCAUAGGGAGAAGCAGAAAGGGAAAAGUGAGGGCCAGAGCCACUGGGCCAUCCCUCCCUCUUGCCCAGCAGGAGGCAUCUGUGCCUUUCUUGUCCCAGUGCAAGCCCAUGGCUUCUGGCACGGAACUGCCCACCUCUGUCACCUUCCCCUCUUGCUCCACCACCCUCAAUCGACUUGUGCUUUCCUCCCGGUAGCUGUCACCCACAAAAGGCCAACUGUGCCACACAGUGUGCCACAAUUCAUCACGCAGAAGACCACACCUGUGACAUUGGCCAGCAGUACCUCCCAGACCUCUGUUUCCAGAGAAGCCAGCCCUGCCAGCAGUCCAGAAGUCCCACUGACAAAGACGUCUCCGAGCCCCAGCUCUUUACCUGUCACCUCAACCUCAUCUGUUUCUUCCUCCUCAUCUGCCCUGCCCUCAACACGGCUGAGACCAUCACAUCCCGCCUCCAAAACUACAUUGCCACCCGUGAGCACGGAGAAGACCACCCCAGCCACAUCUGCCAGCAGCACCUCCAGGACGUCCGUGCCCAGCGAGGCCAGCCCCGCCAGCAGCCCAGCAGUGCCAGUGGCCAGGACGUCGCCUGCCCCCAGCAGCCCUCUCAGCACCAGGCUGCCAUCUGCCGCCCCUUCCACAGCCUCCUCCCCGUCACCCCCAAGCUCCCGGCUCAGGCCCACGCCUACGACCCUGAGGCCCAAGCCCUCUCCCCCGAGGACCAGUGCUCCCACAGAGUCGCCUGCGUCCUCCGCACCCUCCACAGCCAAAACCAGCCCGCUGCCCUCAUCUACGUCCUCCCCGCUCUCAACUGUGUCCUCAGCAGUGCCGAGCUCCUCACAGCCAGCCUCCACCCCCAAAGAGACAACGGUGCCUCACAUCGUGCCGCCCGUGAGCACGGAGAAGACCACCCCGGCCACGUCUGCCAGCAGCACCUCCAGGACGUCCGUGCCCAGCGAGGCCAGCCCCGCCAGCAGCCCAGCAGUGCCAGUGGCCAGGACGUCGCCUGCCCCCAGCAGCCCUCUCAGCACCAGGCUGCCAUCUGCCGCCCCUUCCACAGCCUCCUCCCCAUCGCCCCCAAGCUCCCGGCUCAGGCCCACGCCUACGACCCUGAGGCCCAAGCCCUCUCCCCCG